Molecule: long non-coding RNA, 519 nt
Organism: Saccostrea echinata
Lineage: Eukaryota; Metazoa; Mollusca; Bivalvia; Ostreida; Ostreidae
Exons: 3
Source: RefSeq, a predicted model, not a curated record
UUGCAGGAUAAAAAGGGCGACAUUAAAUUGUUUGACGAUGUCAACAUCUUUGCGUCAAAACAAACAGGGAAUACGGAAAGAUUAUAGAAAACUUCGGAUAGUCGAUUCACUGAUGUUGACAGCGAGACAUAACCGCCUGGGAAUUCUAACUGCAUGAAGUCUUUGAGACCUUUGUAAAAUCAUCAUGUUUUUUAGGCUUUUUCUGUUGCUUAUGAUCCUUUCUUUGAUUUCAGUAGAGAGGACUCAAGCAGCACUGAAUGGACACACGGUGUUGAAGCACUUGGUGAAAAGAUGGGACCAAGAAAUGUUCGGUUGCCAUUGUGCCUUCACGGUCCAUUGCACGAGUGACGCUAACUGUCACCAGCACGGCCACCAUUACCGAUGUAUAGCGGAUUGUUGCGGAAUGAAAUGUCAUCCGUCCGCCGGAAGUUAUCAUCUUCACCAUGGUCAAGAGACGGAAGAAGGAGUGCCUUAAGAAGUCUAACGGAUCAACUCGUACUUUGACGUUAAGAGAUUGGC